Molecule: ribosomal RNA, 497 nt
Filed under: uncultured bacterium
Lineage: Bacteria
Description: partial 16S ribosomal RNA
Rfam family: Bacterial small subunit ribosomal RNA
Source: RNAcentral
GAUGAACGCUGGCGGCGUGCCUAAUACAUGCAAGUCGAGCGAACAGAUGAGGAGCUUGCUCCUCUGACGUUAGCGGCGGACGGGUGAGUAACACGUGGAUAACCUACCUAUAAGACUGGGAUAACUUCGGGAAACCGGAGCUAAUACCGGAUAAUAUAUUGAACCGCAUGGUUCAAUAGUGAAAGACGGUUUUGCUGUCACUUAUAGAUGGAUCCGCGCCGCAUUAGCUAGUUGGUAAGGUAACGGCUUACCAAGGCGACGAUGCGUAGCCGACCUGAGAGGGUGAUCGGCCACACUGGAACUGAGACACGGUCCAGACUCCUACGGGAGGCAGCAGUAGGGAAUCUUCCGCAAUGGGCGAAAGCCUGACGGAGCAACGCCGCGUGAGUGAUGAAGGUCUUCGGAUCGUAAAACUCUGUUAUUAGGGAAGAACAAAUGUGUAAGUAACUAUGCACGUCUUGACGGUACCUAAUCAGAAAGCCACGGCUAACUCCGUG